UAGGGAAUCUUCCACAAUGGACGAAAGUCUGAUGGAGCAACGCCGCGUGAGUGAUGAAGGGUUUCGGCUCGUAAAACUCUGUUGUUGGAGAAGAACGGGUGUCAGAGUAACUGUUGACAUCGUGACGGUAUCCAACCAGAAAGCCACGGCUAACUACGUGCCAGCAGCCGCGGUAAUACGUAGGUGGCAAGCGUUGUCCGGAUUUAUUGGGCGUAAAGCGAGCGCAGGCGGUUUUUUAGGUCUGAUGUGAAAGCCUUCGGCUUAACCGGAGAAGUGCAUCGGAAACCGGGAGACUUGAGUGCAGAAGAGGACAGUGGAACUCCAUGUGUAGCGGUGAAAUGCGUAGAUAUAUGGAAGAACACCAGUGGCGAAGGCGGCUGUCUGGUCUGCAACUGACGCUGAGGCUCGAAAGCAUGGGUAGCGAACAGGAUUAGAUACCCUGGUAGUCCAUGCCGUAAAACGAUGAGUGCUAAGUGUUGGAGGGUUUCCGCCCUUCAGUGCUGCAGCUAACGCAUUAAGCACUCCGCCUGGGGAGUACGACCGCAAGGUUGAAAC
This 555-nucleotide ribosomal RNA is filed under the name uncultured bacterium. Its description in RNAcentral is "partial 16S ribosomal RNA". It matches the Rfam family "Bacterial small subunit ribosomal RNA", at positions 355 to 900 of the family's 1533-position model. The record is from RNAcentral.